GAUGAACGCUGGCGGCGUGCUUAACACAUGCAAGUCGAACGGUGAAGGCGGAGCUUGCUCUGCUGGAUCAGUGGCGAACGGGUGAGUAACACGUGAGCAAUCUGCCCCUGACUCUGGGAUAAGCGCUGGAAACGGCGUCUAAUACUGGAUACGAGCUGCGAAGGCAUCUUCAGCAGCUGGAAAGAAUUUCGGUCAGGGAUGAGCUCGCGGCCUAUCAGCUUGUUGGUGAGGUAAUGGCUCACCAAGGCGUCGACGGGUAGCCGGCCUGAGAGGGUGACCGGCCACACUGGGACUGAGACACGGCCCAGACUCCUACGGGAGGCAGCAGUGGGGAAUAUUGCACAAUGGGCGAAAGCCUGAUGCAGCAACGCCGCGUGAGGGACGACGGCCUUCUGGUUGUAAACCUCUUUUAGCAGGGAAGAAGCGAAAGUGACGGUACCUGCAGAAAAAGCGCCGGCUAACUACGUG
This 468-nucleotide ribosomal RNA is filed under the name uncultured bacterium. Its description in RNAcentral is "partial 16S ribosomal RNA". It matches the Rfam family "Bacterial small subunit ribosomal RNA", at positions 28 to 507 of the family's 1533-position model. The record is from RNAcentral.